UCCCAGUUCGGACUGCAGUCUGCAACUCGACUGCACGAAGCUGGAAUCGCUAGUAAUCGCGAAUCAGAAUGUCGCGGUGAAUACGUUCCCGGGUCUUGUACACACCGCCCGUCACACCAUGGGAGUCGGAAAUGCCCGAAGUCUGUGAGCUAACUUAACGAGGCAGCAGUCGAAGGUAGAAUCAAUGAUUGGAGUGAAGUCGUAACAAGGUAAC
RNAcentral lists this ribosomal RNA (214 nucleotides) under uncultured bacterium. RNAcentral's name for it is "partial 16S ribosomal RNA". It matches the Rfam family "Bacterial small subunit ribosomal RNA", at positions 1286 to 1500 of the family's 1533-position model. The record is from RNAcentral.